This 5367-nucleotide ribosomal RNA is filed under the name Triticum aestivum (bread wheat). RNAcentral describes it as "partial small subunit ribosomal RNA". Lineage: Eukaryota; Viridiplantae; Streptophyta; Magnoliopsida; Poales; Poaceae. The record is from RNAcentral.
AUGGCCUCCGCGGCCGCAGCGGCGCCGGCGCCGCUGUCNNNNNNNNNNNNNNNNNNNNNNNNNNNNNNNNNNNNNNNNNNNNNNNNNNNNNNNNNNNNNNNNNNNNNNNNNNNNNNNNNCAAGGCGCACUCCAAGCUCUCCCACACCGCCAAGUCCAUCCUCGAACGCAUCCAAAGGCCCCCGCCCUCCUCGCCCACCGCGGCGCAGACCCCGUCCACCCCCACCUCGCCCUCCACGCCGACUUCCUCCUCCUGGCAGCCGGGCCCGCUCCGCAACCUCUCGCUGGAGGACUCGGAGCUGCUCCUCUCCCCCAUCUCCUCCGCGCUUGGCUCCGGCAGCGCCAAGCUCGUCGAGGCGGCGCUCGAGCUACUCCACAGGCUGAUCGCGCACUCCUACAUCCAUGGGGAGGCCGACCCGUCGGCUGACCCCUCGUCACAGCUCGUCGCUUCCCUGCUCGAGGCUGCCUGCAAUGCGCUCCACCUCGACGACGAGCACAUUGAGCUCCUCCUCCUCAAGACUCUCCUCUCUGCGGUCACAUCCACCUCCGUGUGCCUCCAUGGCGACUGCCUGCUCCGCGCUGUGCGCGCCUGCUAUGAUAUGUAUCUGGGUAGCCGUAGCACCGUGAAUCAGGCCACUGCCAAGGCGUCGCUCGUGCAGAUGUUGGUAAUCGUCUUCCGCAGAAUGGAGGCAGAUUCAUCCACGAUCCCCGUGCAACCCAUCGUCGUGGCUGAAGUGAUUGAGUUGCCUGAUGCUGGUUCAGGUGCAUCACCCACCGCCGAUGCCACCUUCGUACAGGGAUUCAUCUCGAAGAUCAUAGGGGACAUUGAUGGUGCACUCACACCUCUGACACGGACAACCUCGUCUGCCGCGGCAGGCACUGUGCCCCAUGAUGGCGCUUUUGAGACGACCGCAGCAGCUGAGGAAGGAGCAAAUCCUGCGGACUUGCUUGAUUCAACGGAUAAGGACAUGCUGGAUGCCAAGUACUGGGAGAUUAGCAUGUACAAGACAGCUCUUGAGGGUCGUAAGGAUGAGCUUGGUGUGGAGGGGGCAGUGGUAGCCACUUUGGAUGAUGAUGCUGAUUUCAGGAUUGGGAAUAAGCUGCGGAGGGAUGCUUUCUUAGUUUUCCGGGCAUUAUGUAAGCUCUCGAUGAAGACACCGCCGAAGGAUGCACCAGCUGAUCCGAUAGUGAUGCGGGGGAAGAUCCUUGCUCUUGAACUUCUCAAGAUCUUGCUUGAAAAUGCUGGGGCUGUGUUCCGCACCAGCGAGAGGUUUCUAGGUGCUAUCAAGCAGUAUUUGUGCCUAUCACUUUUGAAGAACUGUGCCUCGUCACAUAUGAUUGUUUUUCAGUUAUCUUGUUCUAUUUUUAUUAGCUUGGUUUCAAGAUUUAGGCCAGGAUUGAAGGCAGAAAUUGGAGUAUUUUUUCCCAUGAUCAUUCUGAGAGUUCUGGAAAAUAUUGCACAACCAAAUUUUCAAGCAAAGAUGAUAGUUCUUCGUUUUUUGGAGAAGCUCUGUACUGAUUCUCAAAUCUUGGUUGACAUUUUCAUCAAUUACGACUGUGAUGUCCACUCGUCGAACAUAUUUGAGAGGAUGGUCAACGGUCUGCUUAAAACAGCUCAAGGGCCUCCUGCGGGUAUCGCUACCACAUUGGUACCGCCUCAGGAUACCACAAUGAAGAGUGAAGCAAUGAAAUGCUUAGUUUCUAUCCUCAGAUCCAUGGGAGAUUGGAUGAAUAAGCAGCUACGUAUUCCAGAUCCUGACUCUCCUAAGAUUGAAUCAGAGCAAAACGAUAAUGAUGGUGGAAAUGAGUUUCCCCAGACAGAUAUCAAUGGAGAUGCUUCUAGCGAGGUAUCCGAUUCACAUUCAGAAGUAUCAAAUGGGGUUUCAGAGGCUGCAUCUUUGGAGCAGCGUCGAGCUUACAAAAUGGAACUUCAGGAGGGUAUCGCUCUGUUUAACCGGAAGCCUAGAAAGGGAAUUGAAUUCUUAAUAAAUGCCAACAAGGUCGGGGAGUCAGCUGAGGAUAUAGCUGCUUUCCUGAAAAGUACUUCUGGCUUGAACAAGACUAUGAUUGGUGAUUAUUUAGGGGAAAGGGAAGAUUUAUCCCUCAAAGUCAUGCAUGCAUAUGUGGAUUCUUUUAAUUUUCAAAAUAUGGAAUUUGAUGAAGCGAUCAGAGCCUUUCUUCAAGGUUUUAGGCUUCCUGGAGAAGCUCAAAAGAUUGAUCGGGUUAUGGAGAAAUUUGCAGAGCGUUACUGCAAAUGCAACCCAAAGGCCUUUUCGAGUGCAGACACAGCUUACGUUCUUGCUUAUUCAGUCAUAAUGCUUAACACUGAUGCACAUAACCCAAUGGUCAAAAAUAAGAUGUCGCCAGAAGAUUUCAUAAGAAACAAUCGUGGUAUUGAUGAUGGGAAAGACCUACCAGAAGAAUUUAUGAGGUCCUUGUAUGGAAGGAUUUGGAAAAAAGAAAUUAAGAUGAAAGAAGACGAAUUUGUUCCUCAUCAGCAACAAUCAACAAGCUCUAACAAAAUUCUUGGGUUGGAUAACAUUCUAAACAUUGUUAUACGCAAACGAGGUUCAGCUAUGGAGACAAGUGAUGAUCUCAUUAAGCAUAUGCAGGAGCAAUUCAAAGAAAAGGCUCGUAUGUCUGAGUCAGUAUUUUAUCCAGCCACGGAUGUAGUAAUUUUGAAGUUCAUGGUCGAGGUUUGCUGGGCUCCUAUGCUUGCUGCCUUCAGUGUGCCACUUGACCAGAGUGAUGAUGAAAUUGUCAUAUCCCAGUGUCUUGAGGGAUUUCGCUGUGCAAUACAUGUCACCGCAGCUAUGUCGAUGAAGACUCAAAGGGAUGCUUUCAUUACAUCGCUUGCCAAGUUUACAUCACUUCACUCUGCUGCGGAUAUCAAGCAGAAAAAUAUUGAAGCAAUUAAGGCAAUUCUGUUGAUUGCAGAUGAAGACGGAAAUUACUUGCAAGAAGCAUGGGAGCAUAUAUUGACCUGUGUUUCUCGUUUUGAGAAUCUACAUCUUGUAGGUGAAGGUGCUCCUCCAGAUGCCACUUUCUUUGCACUGCAACAGCCAGACCUUGAUAAAUCAAAACAGGCUAAAUCCUCGAUUAUUCCUGGUUUGAAAAAGAAGGCUCCAAAUGCUGGUGCCGCUUCUAAAAGAGGUACUUAUGACAGCGCUGGUGUUGGCGGAAAAGCUUCUGGUGUUGAUCAAAUGAAUAAUGCGGUGACAAUCCUCUUGGAGCAAGUCGGGAUGGCUGAAAUGAAUCGUGUAUUCAUAAGAAGUCAAAAUCUCAACAGUGAGGGUAUAAUUGAUUUUGUAAAGGCCCUUUGUAAGGUUUCAAUGGAGGAAUUGCGGUCUGCUUCUGAUCCACGUGUUUUUAGCCUGACUAAGAUUGUUGAAAUCACGCAUUACAAUAUGAACCGCAUCAGGCUUGUCUGGUCAAGCAUAUGGCACGUCUUGUCUGAAUUUUUUGUUACCAUUGGCUGCUCAGAAAAUCUUUCAAUUGCAAUAUUUGCUAUGGAUUCAUUGCGACAGCUGGCAAUGAAGUUCCUGGAGCGAGAAGAACUGGCCAACUACAAUUUCCAAAAUGAAUUUAUGAAGCCUUUUGUUGUUGUAAUGAGGAAGAGUAGAGCUGUUGAGAUAAGAGAACUAAUCAUCAGGUGUGUAUCCCAAAUGGUACUGGCCCGCGUUAAUCAUGUGAAGUCAGGGUGGAAAAGCAUGUUUAUGGUUUUUGCAACGGCAUCAUAUGAUGAUCAUAAAAACAUUGUACUCUUGGCCUUCGAAAUUAUCGAGAAGAUUUUGCGAGAUUAUUUCCCCUACAUUACCGAGACUGAGUCGUCAACUUUCACUGAUUGUGUGAACUGUCUUAUUGCGUUCACCAACAGUAGGUUUAACAAGGAUAUAGGCCUUAAUGCAAUUGGUUUUCUUCGAUUCUGUGCGGCAAAGCUGGCAGAAGGUGACAUCGGGUCCUCUUCGAGGCUGAAGGAGCCCUCGCCUCAUUUGACCAAGGAUGGAAAGCAGGAAGGUGCAAUUCAGGUUGAUAAGGAUGAUCAUAUACACUUCUGGUUUCCUUUAUUAGCAGGAUUGUCUGAACUUACUUUCGACCUUAGACCAGAAAUUAGGAAAAGUUCCUUGCAGGUGUUAUUUGACACAUUAAGAAACCAUGGCCAUGUUUUCUCUCUUCCUUUGUGGGAGAAGGUGUUUGAUUCAGUACUUUUCCCAAUAUUUGAUUAUGUACGGCAUGCUAUUGAUCCAUCUGGUGGUUCUUCACAAGGACAAAAUGCGGAAAAUGAUCCUGCAGAGCUUGAUCAAGAUGCUUGGAUGUAUGAAACGUGCACGUUGGCCCUUCAGCUAGUUGUAGACCUUUUCGUCAAGUUCUAUGACACUGUCCAUCCACUUCUGAAGAAAGUUCUUUCACUCUUGACAAGUUUCAUUAAGCGUCCCCAUCAGAGUCUUGCUGGUAUAGGCAUUGCUGCAUUUGUUCGCCUGAUGAGCAGUGCUGGCUCUGUCUUCGUGGAUGAAAAAUGGCUGGAAGUCGUGUUGUCUUUGAAAGAAGUUACCACAGAGACGCUUCCUGACUUCUCUUAUAUCGCAUCUGGAGCUUACCUUGAAAGUGUACCAAUAGAAAAUGGAGACUCUUCAGAUAAGAGAGAACACGAAUCUCAACCAUCAGAGGAUGGUACUGAAGAAACCUCUAGAUCAAGGAACCUGUAUUUUGCAAUUGCUGAUGCCAAGUGCCGAGCUGCUGUCCAACUCCUAUUGAUUCAGGCUGUGAUGGAGAUAUAUAACAUGUACAGAGCUCAGUUGUCGGCACAGAACACAGUAAUCCUCUUUGAGGCCUUGCAUACUGUUGCCACUCAUGCUCACAAGAUAAACAGUGACAACGACCUGCGGACCAAGCUGCAGGAGCUGGGCUCUAUGACCCAAAUGCAGGAUCCGCCAUUACUACGCCUUGAGAACGAGUCAUAUCAGUUGUGCCUCACUAUCCUCCAGAAUAUAUUCUUGGACAGAGCUCCAGAUGAAGGGAGCUUAGAGGUCGAAACCCACCUUGUUGGACUUUGCAAGGAGGUUCUUGAGGUAUACUUGAGCACAGCAAGGCCUGCUCACCUUUCUGGCGGUAUACAGCCGCUUGGUCAUUGGUUUAUUCCGGUCGGUUCGUCAAAGCGGAGGGAGCUUGCAGCCAGGGCACCGCUUGUUGUGUCAACAUUGCAAGCUAUCAGCGGUCUUGGCGACUCAUCGUUCGAGAAGAACCUUGGCCAGUUCUUCCCCCUACUAGCUGGUCUCAUCAGCUGUGAGCAUGGUUCAGGUGAAGUGCAGGUGGCCUUGAGUGAUAUGUUUAGCACUUGGGUUGGCCCAAUCGUGCUUCAGUCAUGUUGA